GUCCUCGCUUAGGCAGCACAUAUAGUAAAAAGUUGGAAUGAUACAGAGAUUAGCAUGGCCCCUGCACAAGGAUGACACGCAAAUUCAUGAAGCUUUCAUAUUUUUU
RNAcentral lists this small nuclear RNA (106 nucleotides) under Sus scrofa (pig). Lineage: Eukaryota; Metazoa; Chordata; Mammalia; Artiodactyla; Suidae. The record is from RNAcentral.